GGAGACCAAGGCACAUCUAGGAAAGCGCACAGCUGUCUUCCCUAGAGGUAACCAGAAAAAGCCAGAGAUGUGCCCUUAUUUACCUACUCUAAGCUGGUGGUCAUGAAUUUCUAUCAAUGUGGGGUUGUACGUUCUGCUAGGAGAGUGAAAAGAAUGAGCAGCACACACUCAGCACUGAGGAAGGAAAUGUUCAUCUGGAGAAGACAGGCCCAAG
RNAcentral lists this long non-coding RNA (214 nucleotides) under Homo sapiens (human). RNAcentral's name for it is "PREDICTED lncRNA (TCONS_00219479)". Lineage: Eukaryota; Metazoa; Chordata; Mammalia; Primates; Hominidae. The record is from RNAcentral.